Molecule: ribosomal RNA, 484 nt
Filed under: Aspergillus venenatus
Lineage: Eukaryota; Fungi; Ascomycota; Eurotiomycetes; Eurotiales; Aspergillaceae
Description: eukaryotic LSU rRNA
Rfam family: 5.8S ribosomal RNA (bases 118-271)
Source: RNAcentral
GUGACUACCUAACACUGUUGCUUCGGCGGGGAGCCCUCUCGGGGGCGAGCCGCCGGGGACUACUGAACUUCAUGCCUGAGAGUGAUGCAGUCUGAGUCUGAAUAUAAAAUCAGUCAAAACUUUCAACAAUGGAUCUCUUGGUUCCGGCAUCGAUGAAGAACGCAGCGAACUGCGAUAAGUAAUGUGAAUUGCAGAAUUCAGUGAAUCAUCGAGUCUUUGAACGCACAUUGCGCCCCCUGGCAUUCCGGGGGGCAUGCCUGUCCGAGCGUCAUUGCUGCCCAUCAAGCCCGGCUUGUGUGUUGGGUCGUCGUCCCCCCCGGGGGACGGGCCCGAAAGGCAGCGGCGGCACCGUGUCCGGUCCUCGAGCGUAUGGGGCUUUGUCACCCGCUCGAUUAGGGCCGGCCGGGCGCCAGCCGACGUCUCCAACCAUUUUCUUCAGGUUGACCUCGGAUCAGGUAGGGAUACCCGCUGAACUUAAGCAUAC